This 500-nucleotide ribosomal RNA is filed under the name Babesia microti. RNAcentral describes it as "SSU rRNA". It matches the Rfam family "Eukaryotic small subunit ribosomal RNA", at positions 461 to 984 of the family's 1831-position model. Lineage: Eukaryota; Apicomplexa; Aconoidasida; Piroplasmida; Babesiidae. The record is from RNAcentral.
GAGGUAGUGGCAAGAAAUAACAAUACAGGGCUUAUAGUCUUGUAAUUGGAAUGAUGGGAAUCUAAACCCUUCCCAGAGUAUCAAUUGGAGGGCAAGUCUGGUGCCAGCAGCCGCGGUAAUUCCAGCUCCAAUAGCGUAUAUUAAAGUUGUUGCAGUUAAGAAGCUCGUAGUUGAAUUUCUGCCUUAUCAUUAAUUUCGCUUCCGAACGUUAUUUUAUUGAUUUGGCAUCUUUACUGGUUUUAUAUGUUUUUCAUAUUUUUCCAGUUUUUUUACUUUGAGAAAACUAGAGUGUUUCAAACAGGCUUUCGCCUUGAAUACUACAGCAUGGAAUAAUGAAGUAGGACUAUUGGUUCUAUUUUGUUGGUUAUUGAACCAUAGUAAUGGUUAAUAGGAGCAGUUGGGGGCAUUCGUAUUUAACUGUCAGAGGUGAAAUUCUUAGAUUUGUUAAAGACGAACUACUGCGAAAGCAUUUGCCAAGGAUGUUUUCAUUAAUCAAGAAC